AAAGACAAAAAGAAUAGAAGGGAAAGAGUCAAACAUUGUGAGCAACUAGUCCAAAAAGUAGUGGGACGAUAUGAUUCAAAGCAUGAGAAAUAUGUAAUACAUAAACUUAUAUAUCGAACAAAGUAAAAAAUAUUAGAGAAAGAAACAAAACUGAAUUAAAAGUCCUUUUUCAAAAAAUAAGAAAAAAAAAACAAAACUGAAUUGAAGGGAGAGAGAAAGGUUUUGGUUGCGCUCGUGAGCAAUGAUUGAAAUUCAAUCAUAAAUUUUACAGGUGGAUGUGGGGAACCUCCAUGCACCCUCUUCUUCACAUCUUCACCUAAAUUUCCAUUUUUUGUUAUUUGAUUUAG
Molecule: long non-coding RNA, 347 nt
Filed under: Brassica rapa (field mustard)
Lineage: Eukaryota; Viridiplantae; Streptophyta; Magnoliopsida; Brassicales; Brassicaceae
Description: long non-coding RNA (BRAP_LNC000325)
Source: RNAcentral